This 79-nucleotide small RNA is filed under the name Salmonella enterica. RNAcentral's name for it is "partial RtT sRNA". It matches the Rfam family "RtT RNA", at positions 1 to 78 of the family's 130-position model. Rfam says of the family: This family represents a bacterial cis-regulatory element known as RtT RNA. The exact function of RtT is unknown although it is thought that it may be involved in changing the cellular response in relation to amino acid starvation. Lineage: Bacteria; Pseudomonadati; Pseudomonadota; Gammaproteobacteria; Enterobacterales; Enterobacteriaceae. The record is from RNAcentral.
AUAUCUCUUCGUACGGGAAGGAUGAGAAGCUUCGAUUAAGGUUCGAUUCGAGCGCAGCGAGAAAGCGUUGCCGCAGGCA